This is a non-coding RNA of Pelobates cultripes (western spadefoot toad), 266 nucleotides long. The record is from the annotation of a GenBank genome assembly. NCBI's taxonomy places the organism in Eukaryota, Metazoa, Chordata, Amphibia, Anura, Pelobatidae.
UCCACACCUCUUAUGAUAGAAUCCCCCAACAACAACUGUUUUUUAUUAGGCCUCACCAUAGUCUCCAAGCCUGUCUCCACAACACCACUACACUUGGUGCCUGAGCCUGUCUCCACAACACCACUACACUUGAUGCCUGAGCCUGUCUCCACAACACCACUACCCUCAGUGCCUGAGCCUGUCUCCACAACACCACUACCCUCAGUGCCUGAGCCUGUCUCCAUAACACCAUUACACUCUGAAAGUGCAGAAAAUUUAUUAUGUAG